Paramuricea clavata is the source of this 1006-nucleotide non-coding RNA. The record is from the annotation of a GenBank genome assembly. Lineage: Eukaryota; Metazoa; Cnidaria; Anthozoa; Malacalcyonacea; Plexauridae.
UGAUGAUAUACUGGAUAGUAUUAAUUCCGAAACACGCAAUUUAUAUGUCAUUGAUGAUGUCAUGGGUGAGAAGGACGGAGUUAUUUCAAAAUUAUUCACGAAAAAAUAACAUCAUGGUAACAUGAGUGUGAUCUACAUUGUACAAAAUUUAUUUCAUCAUGGCAAAGAACACCUUACACUUUCUCUCAAUGCAAGUUAUUUAUGUUCAACGAAAAACGUGCGAGACGCAAGUCAAAUUAUAUUCAUCUCGCUAAACAACUGUAUCCCAGUAACACCAAAUUUUUUCAUCAAGCCUAUCAACUGGCAACCAAAGAUCCCAAUUCGUAUCUAUUUGUCGACCUAACUCCUACGUGUCCUGACGAGAUACGGAUUCGAUCCGGGAUCUUUCCAACCGAUACGCAUUAUGUCUAUCAACCCAGAGUAUAAGAAAGUGGGAACGUGUGUAAAAUGUUCAUUUGAUCAUGUCUGCUUGUAUGAAGAGGAACUCCGAACUUCUGAAAGUAUUGGCCAAGUGUAAACCUGAACUGAGAAAAGCUAUUUUGAAAGCGGCUGAAGACGAUCUGUUGAAGCUAUAAGACAGUGUCUAUUAAACGUUUGGUUUGACACGAUUAAACUGAAACCGAAAACAGCUAAACAACUUGCAUCGCAUUCCAAGCAUAUAAAGUUUGCGGCUGACAAACGAAAUCCUAUCGUAAAAAGAACACGUCUAGUCCAAAAACGGGAGGGUUUCCUACCGUUUCUACUCACUUCAGUUUUGGAACAGUUGGCUAACUUUUUAUAAUGGAACACGUCAAGCGAUUAGUACUUGUCCCUGAACAUAUGGCUGAAUAGCGAAAGAAACCUACCAUCAGAUCGUUUACCUCGCGAAAUAAGAAACAAACCUAGAGGGUAUAUAUCUAACACGGAUCCUUCCGAUAAACCUGGAUCGAAUUGGGUGGCAAUCUACUUUACAGAAGAUGGCAAAGGGGAAUUUUUGGAUUCUUAUGGUCAGGCUCCUCGAUUUUAC